UGCAACGCAGCCUUUCCGAACAGUCGCUCGCCUCCUGGGCCUCGUCUGACAUUACAUUUUCGAGCUGUUGGUCAUUAAUGGACGGUAGUGAAGGUGAAAGUGGUGAUGAUAGCAUCAGCGUGGCGUCAUCGUCCAGACCGCCAUCGUACAAUUCAGAGUGGAAGUUUGCACCUCUUGAGACGCCUCCUCCAUCGUACGAGGACCCUGAUGAAUUGCCAUGAAAGUGACCAGGCUGACUUGAAAAAUACGGCUGGAUCCGCUUCGAAAAUUUUUCGCUUGAAAUUCGGCUCUAAUGGCGCAUAAUAUGCGUCAAUUGCUAAGAUUACAUUGCCGAUUACCUAUUUUAAAUAAACAUUGUAUUCACCGGAUUUUUAAAAGUUUAAACUUUGCAAGCACUUUUGGACAAUGCUUACCGUGCAAGUAUUUAAUGCGUCUUGAUUACUACCUACAUAUAUUCUGCAGAAUGAUCUGAUUGUUCCAAAAAAAUCAUGGGUUAAUUGACUAAUAUGUAUGAAAAGUUUGCCUGGUGCUGGGUUUGACAUACUAAUGUACAAAAUUAAAUAUUUAUGUGACUUAACCACUGUAAUUUUUUCUAAAUAUGUAUGUAUGUCCUUUACCUGAAAUAAAUUUACAAACUUAUUUGUACAGUAUUAUUCGCAAA
Folsomia candida is the source of this 661-nucleotide long non-coding RNA. RefSeq lists it as uncharacterized. Lineage: Eukaryota; Metazoa; Arthropoda; Collembola; Entomobryomorpha; Isotomidae. The transcript has 2 exons. The record is from RefSeq and is a predicted model, not a curated record.